UAGUCACGCUGUAAACGAUGUCGAUUUGGAGUUUGGGGGCAUGACCCUUGGGCUCCGGAGCUAACGCGUUAAAUCGACCGCUGGGGAGUACGGCCGCAAGGUUAAAACUCAAAUGAAUUGACGGGGGCCCGCACAAGCGGUGGAGCAUGUGGUUUAAUUCGAUGCAACGCGAAGAACCUUACCUGGUCUUGACAUCCAUAGAAUCUUUCAGAGAUGAGAGAGUGCCUUCGGGAGCUAUGAGACAGGUGCUGCAUGGCUGUCGUCAGCUCGUGUUGUGAAAUGUUGGGUUAAGUCCCGCAACGAGCGCAACCCCUAUCCUUUGUUGCCAGCACGUAAUGGUGGGGACUCAAAGGAGACUGCCGUUGAUAAAGCGGAGGAAGGUGGGGACGACGUCAAGUCAUCAUGGCCCUUACGACCAGGGCUACACACGUGCUACAAUGGCGUAUACAAAGGGAUGCGAAGGUGCGAACUGGAGCGGACCUCACAAAGUACGUCUAAGUCCGGAUUGGAGUCUGCAACUCGACUCCAUGAAGUCGGAAUCGCUAGUAAUCGUGAAUCAGAAUGUCACGGUGAAUACGUUCCCGGGCCUUGUACAUACCGCCCGUCACACCAUGGGAGUGGGUUGCACCAGAAGUAGAUAGCUUAACCUUCGGGAGGGCGUUUACCACGGUGUGGUUCAUGACUGGGGUGAAGUCGUAACAAGGUAACCA
RNAcentral lists this ribosomal RNA (710 nucleotides) under uncultured Enterobacteriaceae bacterium. RNAcentral describes it as "bacterial SSU rRNA". It matches the Rfam family "Bacterial small subunit ribosomal RNA", at positions 791 to 1502 of the family's 1533-position model. Lineage: Bacteria; Pseudomonadati; Pseudomonadota; Gammaproteobacteria; Enterobacterales; Enterobacteriaceae. The record is from RNAcentral.